AAUAGAUACCCGGGUAGUCCACGCCGUAAACGAUGAGUGCUAAGUGUUAGAGGGUUUCCGCCCUUUAGUGCUGAAGUUAACGCAUUAAGCACUCCGCCUGGGGAGUACGGCCGCAAGGCUGAAACUCAAAGGAAUUGACGGGGGCCCGCACAAGCGGUGGAGCAUGUGGUUUAAUUCGAAGCAACGCGAAGAACCUUACCAGGUCUUGACAUCCUCUGACAACCCUAGAGAUAGGGCUUCCCCUUCGGGGGCAGAGUGACAGGUGGUGCAUGGUUGUCGUCAGCUCGUGUCGUGAGAUGUUGGGUUAAGUCCCGCAACGAGCGCAACCCUUGAUCUUAGUUGCCAUCAUUCAGUUGGGCACUCUAAGGUGACUGCCGGUGACAAACCGGAGGAAGGUGGGGAUGACGUCAAAUCAUCAUGCCCCUUAUGACCUGGGCUACACACGUGCUACAAUGGACGGUACAAAGAGUCGCGAGACCGCGAGGUGGAGCUAAUCUCAUAAAACCGUUCUCAGUUCGGAUUGUAGG
This 527-nucleotide ribosomal RNA is filed under the name uncultured bacterium. RNAcentral describes it as "bacterial SSU rRNA". It matches the Rfam family "Bacterial small subunit ribosomal RNA", at positions 777 to 1304 of the family's 1533-position model. The record is from RNAcentral.